AAAUCGCUGCUCUGCCGCGCGCCUACGCAAGGAAAGAUUCAAGGGUCCCUCCACUUCAGGGAGUGGAGCCCGCGCCUCGGCACGGAUCAGCUGUGCGUCUCCUUUGGCCUACUGGCUCCUCUGCUUGUGUCUAUAGCUAGCUGGACGCAUCGUGACUUUAUCUUCUCAUCUUUCCUGGCGCCCCCAGACGCAUUUCCUGGUCCCUCGAGGCAGCGGCGUCUGGGGAGUGCACUUUGCACAGACAGGGAAACCGAGGCACUCAGCGGUCUCCAAUGGAGACGCUGUAAUCGCAUUCCACGACCAGCUAGCGCUAUAAGCGCUGCCUCUAAAGCGGAAGGCCUCCCAGUCCUUCUCGACAGGAAGCAAUAUUUGCAUAUCUAAGGAGAACAAGAUUCGGCAAUGUGCUCCGGGAGCAAGUGCAGGCAUGGAACGGUAUGGGCUGGAGGGGGACAGACCUUCAGAGGCGGCUGCCCGUUCCCUGUAGUGUCACAUAAGAUUUUUAGAAGAUAGGAGUUUUCACAGUGGCGGCAGAGCCCUCUGCUAAAUCCUCAUAUUAGAUGUCAAAGGUGGCAUGUCAUUUGACCCAAUGGCUUUUUUAGUCAUUUAUCUUCCUAACACCUAUGAGAGUAGAGACAGGGUUUCACCAUGUUGGCCAGCCUGGUCUCAAACUCCUGAUCGCAAGUGAUCCGCCUACCUUGGCCUCCUAAAGUGCUGGGAUUACAGGCGUGAGCCACGUCUUUGUUCCAGCAAAACCAACCUAGUCCCUGAUUCACAAAUCAUCCUGGGAGUGUACAGCACUUACAGCCAGAAAGAAGUCUCUGGAGCAAAAAGCAUUGCAUAUUCAAUGGUCUAUGACAUCACCAUCGAAGACUCUGUCAAAAGGGGUUUUGUUUGAUUAAUUUUCAUUAUCUGUUGUUACCCAACUAAUGAAAGGUGAUACUAUUAAUGAGUGUGUGAACGAGACAGUGUCUUCGUUACCACCUCUGAAACACUCCCAGCUUUUUCAGGGACGAAUAGCCCUGACCCAAAGUGUGUCCUUUCUUCAUUGUAGGGAGAUACAAACUGUUUCUCUCCAAGUACUCCAACACCAAUUAUUGUGUGUCACAACCGAGAACACAAUAUGAGGCUUGUGCUUGAAUUACUGCUGUUUUAUGUGCCAAAAAAAAUGCUAGCUUUCUUUUUUCAGUGAAGUUGAUAGAGUUGGAAGACAUUUUAAUACCACAUUUAUUGGUUUGAAAGCAUGAUUGUUUUAGUAGCUGGUGCAAAUUUCAAGGAACACAUAACUCCCUUUAAGAAAUAUUGUUUCUAAGAAAUUACAUUUGACUAAAUUUGGAAGCUUUAAUGCAAAUAACUUUCAAACAAUGAAACCAUAUUCACAAGGAGAUGCUUUUAUUUUCUCCACUGAGGAAGAAAUGGAGACAUGUUUCCUAUUGUCGUUAUGUCCAUCUGGACAGAAAAGGAAGUCUGUGGGCUAGACAAGCAAAAAUAGGUUACAUCUGGGUAGCCCAGCAGUCUCUCCCUGACUGCUGAAGAAGCUCCUCUUUGUUUCAUUCCUGAAGCACGGCGUUGUUUUCUUGGACCCGUGCAUCAAGUUAAACCUGAGUUAGACUAUGGAUCCCUUGCACUUGAUUUUAUGAUUGUAAGACUUACACAAAUGCAAGCCUAGAACACAAUUGAACUCUUAUUUGCUUACAUCUCCAUGAACAGGAAAGAAGCCACUUGAUCUUCUAAAAGUUUUGCCCGGUUGCUUUCUCUUUUAUACCUAUUGUUAAGCUAUAAAAUGAAAUCACCAAAUUAUCAAUCUGCGAGUAUUUGCUACUUCGCAAUAUAUAUUUAAGAAUUUUACAAAACAAAACUGUGCCAUAAAAAGUAUUUCAUCCAUAUGAUCUUACAGUUCCACUUCUAAGAAUGCAUAUACCCAAAAGAAUUGAAAGCAAGAUCUCAAAGAUAUUUGUAUACCUGUGUUCGUAGCAGAUUAUCCACAAUAGCUAAAGGUGGAAGCAAGCCAAGCGUCUAUCAAUGUAUGAAUGGAUAAGUACAAUGUGGUAUACACAAACAAUGAAUUGUCAUUCAGCCUUAAAAAGGAAGGAUAUUCUGGGCUGGGCGCGGUGGCUCAAGUCUGUAAUCUCAGUACUAUGGGAGGCCGAUAGAGGUGGAUCACCUGAAGUCAGGAGUUCAAGACCAGUCUGACCAACAUGGUGAAACCCUGUCUCUACUAAAAAUCCCAAAAAAAAAAAAAAAAAAUAGCCAGGUGUGGUGGCAGGCACCUGUAAUCUCAGCUACUCAGGUGGCUGAGGCCAGGGAAUCGCUUGAACCUGGAAGGUGGAGGUUGCAGCAAGCCGAGAUUGCACCACUGCACUUCAGCCUGGGUGACAGAGUGAGACUUUGUCUCAAAAAAGAAGGAGAUUCUGACACAUGCUAUAACAUGGAUGAACCUUGAGGACAUUAUGGUAAGUGAAAUAACCCAUUCAGAAAAUAGACAAAAUCUGUAUGACUCUACUUAUAUAAGAUAUCUAGAUCAAAUUCAAGAGACAGAAAGUAGGAUGAUGGUAAUCAGGGGCUGGAGGGAAGGAGGAAUGUUACUGUUUAAUGGCAUAAAGUUUCAGUUUUGUGAAGUGAAAAGAGUUCUAGAGAUGGACUGUGGUAUUGGUUGCACAGCAAUGUAAACAUACUUAAUGCCAUUGAAAGUGUCACUUAAAAAUAGUUAAGAUGGUAAGUUUUAUGUUAUGUGUAUUUUACCAUAAUUUAAAAUAAUAAUUUUUGAAAGUAUUUCAGAUUUUAUGCCAAAGUUCUUAUUAAGGGAACUUUCAAUUUUUUCAAAAAAGUUUAAAAUACUUUCCACCUAAUUUUCAAAGUAAAUACAACUUUCAAAUUAAAUACAGGGAAUUUAAUUAAUUCCCUGGGACUUUCAGGAAACCAAACUUCUGAGCACUGUUUAUUUGAAGAAAGCCUUCCUUUUUCCCUCUCCUUUCGCAUAAUUUCUCCCUAGUGCUGUAUGUUGGUCAGCUUUGUUAGCUAUUUAUUUGUGCUGGUCUGUGGCUUUAUUGCUCUGGUCUUUAUCAGAAACUUAGGUAAAUAUUUGCAACCUUGACAAAUGAUGCUUGGAUACUGAUAAGUCUUUACAUUAAGAAGGAUAUUCUUAAUAAAAUUAAUGUUCUACUUAGUUCACAAAGCUGUACACAGGAUAAAUAGCACAAGGCCUGCCGAAGUGCCUGGAGACAGUAGACAUGAACACAUGUUGUCCUAGUAGAUAUUUGCUUAUCAAGCACCAGCAAACAAUAGAGCUGGAGGGACCCAAAGAGAGCCUAAUCUCUGUCCUCUAGAGCACUAGGUUUCUAAGCAGGUCAUUUAAAAGUGACAGAAAACAUGGCUGUAAACCCCUAUUUCUAUAACAGCUAGUAAAGCACUUGCACAUAUUUAUAUAUUGGAACUCUGUUCACCCCAAAAAAGGUUUAAAUCCCUUUGACCAUGAAAAUUGGUUGCUUAUGACUUCAAACUAUACUACAGGGCUACAGUUACCAAAAUGGCAUGGUACUGGUACAUAAACAGACACACAGACCAAUGGAACAGAAUAGAGAACCCAGAAAUAAGACUGCACACCUACAACUGUCUGAUCUGUGACAAACCUGAUGAAAACAAGCAAUGGGAAAAGGUUCCCUAUUCAACAAAUGGUGCUGGGAUAACUGGAUACUCAUAUACAAAAGACUGAAACUGGACUUUUUCCUUAACCAUAUACAAAAAUUAACUCAAAGUGGAUUAAGGACUUAAAUGUAAAACCCAAAACUGUAAAAGCCUGGAAGACAACCUAGGCAAUACCAUUCAGGACAUAGACACAGACAAAGAUUUCGUGACAAAAAUGCCAAAAGCAAUUGCAACAAAAGCAAAAAUUGACAAAUGGAACCUAAUUAAACUACAGAGCUUCUGCACAGCAAAAGAAAUUAUCAACAGAGUAAACAGAUAACCUACAGAAUGGGAGAAAUUUUUUGCAAACAGUGCAUCGACAAAGAUCUAAUAUCUAGCAUCUAUAAAGAACUUAAACAAAGUUGCAAGAAAAAAAAAUCACCCCAUUAAAAACUGGGCAAAGGACAGGACAUGAACAGACACUUUUCAAAAGAAGACAUACAUUUGGCCAACAAUUAUAUGAAAAAAGCUCAACGUCACUGAUCAUUAGAGAAACUCAAAUCAAACCACAAUGAGAUACUGUCUCAUACCAGUCAGAAUGGCUAAUAUGAAAACGUCCAAAAAUGACAGAUGCUGGUGAGGUUGUGGAGAAAGGGAACACUUUACACGGUUGGUGAGAGUGUAAAUUAGUUCAGCCAUUGUGGAAGACAGUGUGGUGAUUCUUCAAAGACCUAAAGACAGAAAUACCAUUCCAUUCAGCAAUCCCAUUACUGGGUAAUAUACCCAAAGGAAUAUAAAUCAUUCUGUCAUAAAGAUGCAUGUGUGUAUGUUUACUGCAGCACUAUUCACAAUAGCAAAGACAUGGAAUUAACCUAACAUCAAUGGUAGACUGGAUGAAGAAAAUGUGGUACAUAUACAUUGUGGAGUACUAUGCAGCCAUAAAAAAGAACAAGAUCAUUUACUUUGCAGGGGCUUCAAUGGAGCUGGAGGCCAUAUCCUUAGCAGCUAAUGCAGCAACAGAAAACCAAAUAUUGCAUGUUCUCACUUAUAAGUGAGAGUCAAAUGAUGAGAACACAUAUAGGGAAACAACACACACUGAGGCCUAUUUGAGGGUAGAGGGUGGAAGGAGGGAGAGGAUCAGGAAAAAUAACUAAUGGGUACUGGGCUUAAAUACCUGGGUGAUGAAAUAAUCUGUACAACAAACCCCCAUGACACGAGUUUACCUAUGUAACAAACCUGCACAUGUACCCUUGAACUUAAAAUAAAAAUUUAAAAAAAGAAAAUAGGUUGCUUGACUCUGCACCUUUCCUUCUCUGCUUCUCACUUCCCAACUGUUCUAAUUUCAUAUGGGAAUCCAUGCAGUUAUGGAGAAUCCACCUUCAGCAAUGGGAAUGAACCUAGCACCACAUGACCUGGGCUGGAUCAAUCAUCACAUACUAUCCCCUGACCCAGUGAUUGGUUCAGGGAUGGACAUGUGACCUAAGAGAGUGUGGUUAGAGUAAACCUCAGGACUUCUGCUGAUAACAUUGGCAAAAAGAUUUUUUUUUUAAAUGAAUGAGGGCAUGUAGCCUCACAGAACAGCUGGAAGCCAUUUUGCAACCACAGAGAUCUGCCAAAGUCUCCCUAAGAUGAAGAAACACUGAGAUAGCAGAGCCAGGAAAUGGUGAAGGGAAUGUUGGUCCCUGGUCAAGUUGUUUGAGCUAGCCCUGAAGUUUUUCAAAUCUCUGUGGGCUUUUCAAUUGCAUGAGCUAGUAAUUUCCCUUUAUUACUUAAGCCAAUGUGAACCAGCUUUUCUGUUACUUAGAACCAAAAACAUUCUGCUACAUCAUUGAUACACGUCAAACACCCCCUUCCUUUUACAGAAGAAAAGACUAAAUCUCAUGGAUGCUACGUGGCUAGUUAGGAGGAAUUGCCUUCCCAGUUCCAGGCCUUUCUCCUUUUACUACUCUAGCCACUUGUGAUGGGUUUGGUAACAAUGAGUAAAAUGUGCAUUCUCCUUAUUUCUAACCACGGAUUGGAUAUGUUCAGAAAUAUUAAAACUGAUUUUCCUCAAGUGUAUCUUCUGGCAAUUAAUGUCAUUGCUUUAUAGCCACUCUGUACUACGGGCCCUUGUGAUUCAUUAGAAAAAACAAAGGAUCAAAUAGUUAGAGAAGGUAUAAGGACCUUGUUUAAAAUUUUAUUUAAUUUGCAGCUAAUUUACCAGCAACUUAGGCUCAACCACGUAUGCUGCUUUGCUAGUUUCUUCAAAACUUGUCAUGCACUUUCAUUUCUUGGUAAUCAUCCCUCAUUACCAUUUCUUAUCUUUCAAAAACACAGCCUCACCACACUGUAUUCUUACCUUUGGUGCCUCCCUCUACAGCUAGAAUUUCCAGAUUCUGUGGGCUCUUCCUCUGUAAACUCUAAAAAUCCUUCCAUUUUUAUCUAUACAUACUAUUUCCCCCACUCUAACAGAUCUUACCUAUCACCAACCCUAAAAUUACCUAACAAAAUGCUCAUCACAUCUUCAAGGAAAUGUCCCACAGUGAGAGAAAAGAGAAAGGAACCUGUGUUUAUUGUGCUAGGAAGAUACUAGAUACUUUACAGACAUUAACUCAUUUAAUUUUCAUGACCACACCAUGGUAAGUAGGUAGUAGUAUCUCAGUCUAAAAAUAAGGAAACUGAGGUUGGGUGAGUCAUAGGGUUGAAUUCCAAACCUAGGUGUGUGCAGUUCUAAAGAUACUUUCUUCCACUGCUUCUGUUGGACAAUAGAUUUUGCCCCUUUUGUACCAGCUCCAAAGGAUAGUGACCGCCUGGAUCUCGUGUUGAGAAGACUGAAGCCUCAUCCAGGUUGACAGGGAAAGACAAAAGGAUGUCUUGCCAAAGCUUGCCAAGGGGGAAAGUGGCAAUCCACACACCACUUAUUUCACAUUUCUUCAGGCCUGUGCCUGGGGCAGUUCUAGAGGUUUCCCAGGAGAAGGACAGGUGCACCAGGGAGUCUGGCUAUAAAGUUUGUACACUAGAAUCUGUUGGCAGAUUCUGUUGCUUAAAGUUGAGUUUGCAUUCAUACUUUAUAUCUGAAGAAAUGGGAAGUUAGGGAGUUAACCACUGUCUAUUGGGAAGUGAUUCAUGAAUCAGAACAGGUGAGAAUGUCAGGCUCUGAAAUGAACAGCACACUUCUGUAUGGAAUGUACUGGGGCAGCAUACCUGCCUUCUUUCUCAGAUCAAUGUUGACACACUUAAAUUUGUGAAUAAGGCCUUCCAGGAUAUCUUGUUUAGGAAGAACCAGUUCACUUGCUAGUAUCUAGGCUUUCUAGGUAUCACGAGGGCUUUCUGUCAAAGCAUAAACAAGCAGUGAGAAAUCAUCAGUGUUCUCUCUCUGAAGAGAGAGACACCAGGAAAGGAGAGAGGGUAGCAAGUUAGCAGGCAUGGAAAGCUGCUGCUUUGCAGAUGUGUUCAUCAGGCAUAAUCCUUAGCUGGAUGUUAGACAGUACCAGAAGUUGCAUGGUGACUUGUCUGAUGGUUGCAAAGAUAUUGGUCCUCAUGUGGGAUUAUUCAAGAUAUUCAGAAGGGAAGAAGCUGAAUCUGGUUACAAAAGGUGUUCCUUAAAUACGUAAUGAAUGAAUGAAUAAACAGUUCAAUGGAAAUUGGGGCAAAUUAAGGAUUCAGUAGAUGUGAGGUGUAUUUGUCUCAUGUCCUCAUCUGAUGAACAUCUACCAUAUUCAGUUGUCUAGUGAGGACUCUUUUAGUGUAGAAACCAAGGAGGCACAUUUGGGGUUCAUUUAGAGAUGGGGUAUUUGGGGCUGGGGGGAAGCCAGCAUAUGAAUGAUGGGCUUCACCAGGAGACAAAGGGCAUCUGUCUAAGGGAUGGAUGCUGAGGGUGGACCUGGCAGGCUGAGCAGGUGAAACUCUUCCAUUGGAGCAGACUGUGGGUUUAUUUGAGCUUAAGAAAAGGAGGUCAUUCCCAAGAAUGAAUAGCAGUGGAUUUGUAGACUUUGAAAUUAACAGAUCAAAGACACCAGAUCUCUGUAGAGAACUUAAUAUGAUCUCUAGAUUCUGAAGCUCCAAUUCUCAGCCCUGGCUGCACCCUAGAAUCACCUGGGAGCUUUUCAACCCUACCACUGCCAGGGUUUCUCCCCCAGAGCUUUGGAUUCAGGCAGUUCAGAGUGAGGCCCUGGAAUCAGUAUUUUCAAAAAGACCUCCAAGUGGCUCUGAGAAUAUCACUGCAGUUGAGACUGUCCACUCUAGACAUAACUCAAAGCAGGCAAAUUUUCAGGAUUCCAUGGCUAGACUAUGACAUUUCCAACAACCUCAAGAGAGACAUUUUAGGAUUAUUCAUUCAUACUGUGUGCAUCCUUGGUUUCUCACUAGCCCCUGUUCUUAAGGCCUGGCAGAUUCCCAGGUGACUUCUAUCCAUGAGAGUGUCCCAAGAAGGGCCACUGGGAAACACACUUAUAGAGAGUUUGGAUUAUGAUCCCAAAAGACACAUUCCUGAAUGCCAUCAUCCCCGAGGUUGAAAUCCUGAAAGAUCAAAAUUUCUAAAGACUAAAUCCUUAACAUCUAAAAUCCUGAAAAUCACAAUCAUAGGAUAGUUGCAUCAUGUUAGGUGAAACUGUUACCUUGUUGUGGUCUUUAUUUGGAAAUUAAGUAUGGUUUAAGGAGAUGCAUAUAGUGCCAAGUUGACAGGGAUGGAUUUAUUGACUUAAUUUGAGAUGUCAACUUGACUGAUUAAGGAAUGCCUGAAACCCUGGUAAAGCAUUAUUUUGGGUGUGUGUGAGGGUGUUUCCAGAGGACUGAGUAGACUCGGUGAGGAAGAUCUGCCCUUGAUAUUGGUGGACACCAUUCAAUUGGCCAACAAUCUGGAGAUAACAAAUAUAGAAGGCCAACUGGUCUCUCUCUGAGAGCUGGGACAGACUUUUCUUCUGCUGCCUUGGACAUCAGAACUCCAGGCUCACCAGCCUUUGCACUCCAGUACUUAACAGCAGCGGCCAUCUGGGUCCUGAGGCUUUUGGCCUCAGAGAGUAACACCAUUGUCUGCUGUGGUUCUCAAUAUAAAAACAUUGAAACUUCCUCAAUAAAUGAACAGAUUUCCUUUUUGUGUAUCUGCAUUUGUGAAAGACCAAAAUUUCUUGAGAUCUUGCCUUUUUGGGCCACUGCAUAUGCAGUGGUGACCUAUAGAGGUUUUUGAUUGAUCUUGUCAAAAGACAGGUUGUCCAUCACAGUAUUUCGGAUGACUGGAGUUAUAAAGCUAGGUACACACAACUACCAACCAUCAUGAUACAUGUUUAUACACUUUGUUUUUGGCAUAUUGCCUUAUGAAUACAGUUCAUCUGCUUGUAAUUGUUGUAAUCAUGUGACUGUUGUUAGAAUAGCUGAGUGCUUAUGUUUGCAAAGAUAUAUAUGUUAUUAUUGCCAAUUUUAUUGUGUAAAUUGGCCUCUGAAGUGCUCUGUCAGUUUUUAUAUGGUUCUCAAAUAAAUCUCCCUUAAAAAUGUAAA
Molecule: long non-coding RNA, 9093 nt
Organism: Homo sapiens (human)
Lineage: Eukaryota; Metazoa; Chordata; Mammalia; Primates; Hominidae
Gene: RASSF10-DT
Product: RASSF10 divergent transcript
Exons: 3
Source: RefSeq, marked validated